RNAcentral lists this ribosomal RNA (425 nucleotides) under uncultured bacterium. RNAcentral describes it as "bacterial SSU rRNA". It matches the Rfam family "Bacterial small subunit ribosomal RNA", at positions 354 to 796 of the family's 1533-position model. The record is from RNAcentral.
GUGGGGAAUCUUAGACAAUGGGGGAAACCCUGAUCUAGCCAUGCCGCGUGAGCGAUGAAGGCCUUAGGGUUGUAAAGCUCUUUCAGCUGGGAAGAUAAUGACGGUACCAGCAGAAGAAGCCCCGGCUAACUCCGUGCCAGCAGCCGCGGUAAUACGGAGGGGGCUAGCGUUGUUCGGAAUUACUGGGCGUAAAGCGCACGUAGGCGGAUCAGAAAGUCAGAGGUGAAAUCCCAGGGCUCAACCUUGGAACUGCCUUUGAAACUCCUGGUCUUGAGGUCGAGAGAGGUGAGUGGAAUUCCGAGUGUAGAGGUGAAAUUCGUAGAUAUUCGGAGGAACACCAGUGGCGAAGGCGGCUCACUGGCUCGAUACUGACGCUGAGGUGCGAAAGCGUGGGGAGCAAACAGGAUUAGAAACCCGUGUAGUCC